CCCAUACAAUCUUGCUAGCGCAUGCUAAAAAGAUAAAAGCUCCGGCGGUGUAAAAUGAGCGUGCGUCCUAUUAGCUAGUUGGAGAGGUAAUGGCUCACCAAGGCUACGAUGGGUAGGGGUUCUUAGUGGAAGGUCCCCCACACUGGCACUGAGAUACGGGCCAGACUCCUACGGGAGGCAGCAGUAGGGAAUAUUGGUCAAUGGGCGCAAGCCUGAACCAGCCAUGCCGCGUGCAGGAUGAAGGCUCUCUGAGUUGUAAACUGCUUUUGUACAGGAGCAAAAAAGCCCCUGCGGGGGCUCUUGAGAGUACUGUAAGAAUAAGCACCGGCUAAUUCCGUGCCAGCAGCCGCGGUAAUACGGAAGGUGCAAGCGUUAUCCGGUUUUAUUGGGUUUAAAGGGUGCGUAGGCGGCUUAUUAAGUCAGUUGUGAAAUCCUAGUGCUUAACGCUAGAACUGCGAUUGAUACUAUUAGGCUUGAGUUAAGAAGAGGUAGGCAGAAUUUAUGGUGUAGUAGUGAAAUGCUUAGAUAUCAUAAGGAAUACCAAUAGCGUAGGCAGCUUACUGGUCUUUAACUGACGCUGAGGCACGAAAGCGUGGGGAGCAAACAGGAUUAGAUACCCUGGUAGUCCACGCCGUAAACGAUGAUCACUCGAUAUACAUGAAACCUCGUGUGUGUCUAAGCGAAAGCGUUAAGUGAUCCACCUGGGGAGUAUACUCGCAAGGGUGAAACUCAAAGGAAUUGACGGGGGUCCGCACAAGCGGUGGAGUAUGUGGUUUAAUUCGAUAAUACGCGAGGAACCUUACCUGGGCUAGAAUGUAUUUUGACACCUUGAG
Molecule: ribosomal RNA, 833 nt
Filed under: Cardinium endosymbiont of Brevipalpus phoenicis
Lineage: Bacteria; Pseudomonadati; Bacteroidota; Cytophagia; Cytophagales; Amoebophilaceae
Description: bacterial SSU rRNA
Rfam family: Bacterial small subunit ribosomal RNA
Source: RNAcentral